UACGUAGGGGGCAAGCGUUAUCCGGAUUUAUUGGGCGUAAAGGGAACGCAGGCGGUCUUUUAAGUCUGAUGUGAAAGCCUUCGGCUUAACCGGAGUAGUGCAUUGGAAACUGGGAGACUUGAGUGCAGAAGAGGUGGGCGGAAUUCGUGGUGUAGCGGUGAAAUGCUUAGAUAUCACGAAGAACUCCGAUUGCGAAGGCAGCUCACUGGACUGCAACUGACACUGAGGCUCGAAAGUGUGGGUAUCAAACAGG
Molecule: ribosomal RNA, 253 nt
Filed under: uncultured Lactobacillus sp.
Lineage: Bacteria; Bacillati; Bacillota; Bacilli; Lactobacillales; Lactobacillaceae
Description: partial 16S ribosomal RNA
Rfam family: Bacterial small subunit ribosomal RNA
Source: RNAcentral